This 369-nucleotide ribosomal RNA is filed under the name uncultured organism. Its description in RNAcentral is "bacterial SSU rRNA". It matches the Rfam family "Bacterial small subunit ribosomal RNA", at positions 526 to 896 of the family's 1533-position model. The record is from RNAcentral.
CGAAGGGUGCUAGCGUUGUUCGGAAUCACUGGGCGUAAAGCGCGCGUAGGCGGCUUUCCAAGUCAGGGGUGAAAUCCCAGAGCUUAACUCUGGAAUUGCCUUUGAAACUGGAAAGCUAGAGUACUGGAGGGGUUGGCGGAAUUCCUAAUGUAGAGGUGAAAUUCGUAGAUAUUAGGAGGAACACCGGUGGCGAAGGCGGCCAACUGGACAGUAACUGACGCUCUGGCGCGAAAGCGUGGGUAUCAAACAGGAUUAGAUACCCUGGUAGUCCACGCUGUAAACGAUGGAUGUUAGCCGUUGGGGGGUUACCCCUCAGUGGCGUAGCUAACGCGUUAAACAUCCCGCCUGGGGAGUACGGUCGCAAGAUUA